Molecule: ribosomal RNA, 465 nt
Filed under: uncultured Enterococcus sp.
Lineage: Bacteria; Bacillati; Bacillota; Bacilli; Lactobacillales; Enterococcaceae
Description: bacterial SSU rRNA
Rfam family: Bacterial small subunit ribosomal RNA
Source: RNAcentral
CCGACGGGAGGAAGCAGAAACGAAUACUCAGAAAAAGAAAAAAAAAAGACCGAGCCAAACAGAAAAAGUGAAGAAGGUUUUCGGAUCGUAAAACUCUGUUGUUAGAGAAGAACAAGGAUGAGAGUAACUGUUCAUCCCUUGACGGUAUCUAACCAGAAAGCCACGGCUAACUACGUGCCAGCAGCCGCGGUAAUACGUAGGUGGCAAGCGUUGUCCGGAUUUAUUGGGCGUAAAGCGAGCGCAGGCGGUUUCUUAAGUCUGAUGUGAAAGCCCCCGGCUCAACCGGGGAGGGUCAUUGGAAACUGGGAGACUUGAGUGCAGAAGAGGAGAGUGGAAUUCCAUGUGUAGCGGUGAAAUGCGUAGAUAUAUGGAGGAACACCAGUGGCGAAGGCGGCUCUCUGGUCUGUAACUGACGCUGAGGCUCGAAAGCGUGGGGAGCAAACAGGAUUAGAUACCCCAGUAGUC